RNAcentral lists this ribosomal RNA (380 nucleotides) under uncultured bacterium. RNAcentral's name for it is "partial 16S ribosomal RNA". It matches the Rfam family "Bacterial small subunit ribosomal RNA", at positions 355 to 727 of the family's 1533-position model. The record is from RNAcentral.
UGGGGAAUAUUGGACAAUGGGCGAAAGCCUGAUCCAGCCAUGCCGCGUGUGUGAAGAAGGUCUUCGGAUUGUAAAGCACUUUAAGUUGGGAGGAAGGGCAUUAACCUAAUACGUUAGUGUUUUGACGUUACCGACAGAAUAAGCACCGGCUAACUCUGUGCCAGCAGCCGCGGUAAUACAGAGGGUGCAAGCGUUAAUCGGAAUUACUGGGCGUAAAGCGCGCGUAGGUGGUUUGUUAAGUUGGAUGUGCAAUCCACGGGCUCAACCUGGGAACUGCAUUCAAAACUGACUGACUAGAGUAUGGUAGAGGGUGGUGGAAUUUCCUGUGUAGCGGUGAAAUGCGUAGAUAUAGGAAGGAACACCAGUGGCGAAGGCGACCA